Etheostoma spectabile (orangethroat darter) is the source of this 301-nucleotide long non-coding RNA. RefSeq lists it as uncharacterized. The record is from RefSeq and is a predicted model, not a curated record. NCBI's taxonomy places the organism in Eukaryota, Metazoa, Chordata, Actinopteri, Perciformes, Percidae. The transcript has 3 exons.
CUCUGAGCGACCUCACGGCUGAUUGUGGUAGAGCAGUGUUAGGCUACAUUUACAAUGCUACCUUUUGCUUUAAAACAACUAACUUUUGCUAUAUUUACACCUCGUAUUCCUCCUGCUCUGGCGUUUCAGAGCCCCUAACCUCGAGACAUUUGGUUUGGAAUCUCCGGGGAUGUUUUGCAGUCUCAACGGCCGCAAAUGGAGACCUUUGGAAACACCGACAACGACGCCAACGUUUCGCCGCCUGAUUGGGUCAUGACUACUCGUUCUCUGAGACUAAGCCACUAAUAUCAACAUGGCAACU